AGGCCGCGGCAAGGCAAGCUGGUGCUGGGAGUGGAAGGAGAUGAGCUGGGUGCGGAUGCGGCCGAGCCAGAUGAGGGGUGACCUCUGCCUGAGAGAUGCACCUAGGUCUAAAUUCCAGGUGCAUCAUCUACUGCUUCUCAUCUGUGUGCCCACGGAUGAGCUGCUUAAACUCCCUGAGCUUCCUGGAAUGUGGUAGGGGAUGGACCAGAUGAUGGACCAUCAGAAAGGGAGUGGGAUGUGUUCCUUGAAGCAGGUGGGAGUUGCCUGGAGCAGGACAUUGUAACGGAAACACAUCUGGCAGGCUCCGGGUCCUACAUGUCCAAAGGCUAGGAAAUGCGGGUGCCCUUGGCAUUCAUUGCGUGAAAUCCUUGGUGGUGUGGCCGGGCUGGAACGUAAAGAGUGGAGACAGAGGAAAUGAGGCAGACGAGCACAUAAGAAGGAGGCCCACCCGCAAAGCCAGAAAGAUCGCAGAGGCGAGAGGGCUCUAAAGCCAGAGUUUGGUUAUAUGAACCAGUCAAUGUCCCGCUUUGCUGAAGCUAGUUUGAGUCUGGGUUUUCCUCCUUUACCACCUGUGCCAUCCGUCCACAGUGAAAGUGGUGAGAUAAGCAGAAGUCUCUUCAGAGCAGGACGACAGGCGCCCUCAUCUCAAGUGUGACCCACUCAGGGCCAUGGAGCCCUUGGCUGAUGCUCUGGGAGUCAUCCACCAGCUAAUGCAAUUUUCAGAAAUUAAUUACACAGAAUAAUCUGUCAAGUAGGUGGGCACGGUGUUUGAUUCUCUCUCUCUGGCAUUUAAAAAUUAGAUCACGUAACUGUCUCCCAGAUUAACUGCCAUUUGUAACCGGUCUCCCAGGCCUCAAAUACUGCCUUCCUGUCACCCCUCACACCCCCUACAACCAUGCUUUAGCCAAAUGAAUUUUAUCGUAUGCACAUUAAACCACACCUCUCUCCCCUUCUCCCAAAGAAUCUCAGGCGAAAGCAUGAAGUUUUUCUCCUGGAUUACAAGGCAGUUCUUACUUCUCUCCAGCCUUGUCUUUCAGUGAGACUCCCCAGCCUUCAUUCCUCUGUUCCCCUAGUCACACUGAAAUUAUUUUCAAUUUUGGGAGUGUGCUGUCUUGUCAUCAUCAGAUCCUUAGGUACCGUGAAACGAGAUGGAGUUUCUCCUUAGAAAUGUUAUCCUUCCCUCAUUCUCCUCUUUCCCUCUUAUGAACUCCGAGGGCCCUCCUUAGAUGUCACUGUCUCUGGGGGAUUGAAAUUAGGAACUCUUUCCUUGGAUGCUUGAAAAACCGUACCCUUCCCAUGCUGUGCAGCAACACUGCUGAGUGAGCGUCCGGCUUGGGUCUUCUCCUGGGAUCACAGCUACCCUAAAUUUCCCAGCCCCCGGCAAUGUGGCAGGUUAUGUGAUAGAGUUUUGACCGGUGGACCGAGUGGUGAGCAUCCGGAACAAGCAGUAAGCAGAUGGAGACCCAGUCCUCAUCAUUGUUCUCCGAAGGGAAGGUAGCCAGUCAGCAAGGAGUCACGUAAGAACAUCUUGAGUAAUGAUAUGUGCUAUAAGGGAACACAGGGAAAUGGGUUCCAAGUCAGGGGUCAUCAGAGCACAGGGGAAGCCCUUCGCACAGGUGGCCAGAGAAACCAUCUCCCAAGAGAUGACGGGGCUCAGAGCCUUGAUAACAGAACGUCCCUGUGUAGGUUUGGGGCAAAGUAUUCUCCACAUUGUUGCCUAUUCAUUGUAUUAGGUGAGGAGUUUGAAAAUAUAUAUCCUCAGCCCACUCCUUCAGAGAUUCUGACAUCUACCUGGAUUUAUAUUUAAUUCUUCAUUUGAUUUUAACGUAGUUCGAAAGUAUGAGGCACAGAUUGAGAGAUCCAACUUUCCUGGAAGAAGCAAAGCAAUUGAAAGGCUUUAGGAAGAAAUAAGCUGGAAAGGCGAAGGAUGGAAAGGAGGACCGAGAAGCUAAAUUAUAAAGAGAGCAGGAGGUGUGAUGGGCAAUCAGUGCCGGACGUCCGAGGUCAGAGGUGAGCAAAGGCAGAUGUGCAGUAGGUCAAGCUAGGGAAUCUGAGCUUGAUUUGGAUGGCAGUGGGAUGUCAUUAGGGUGGCAUCUUGGGUAAUCAGAUCUGAUUUAUACUUUUAUGGUACUCUGUCCGUGAAAACAGUAGGCUGGUGGGGUUGAGAGAAGAAGAUAUUGUGGGAGGGAACCCAGGAGAGAGGAUGGUAGCUUGAACAGAGCAGGGAGGGGAAGACAUUGAGAAAAAUUGGACUCCACAUAUGUUCUGGACAUAAAGGGAUCGUGGCCGCGUGAUAAAAGUAAGAGUGACUUUUAGGAUUUGGGGUCUGGUGACGGUGGGUGGAAGUGUAGGUAGAAAAAAUUGCCAGAGAAAGGGUUUGGAGUCAUGGGGAAGUAAGAGUUCUGUCUGGACACAUCCUGUUGAAGAUUCCAAGUGAAGUGAAGGGUGACAUUGAUUGACUUACCUGGAACUCAAGAGAAAAGAAGGCAGAUUCGGAGACAGGAGUGAGCGAAGCAUCAGUGUAUAGAUGGCCUUUGAAAGCUGGAGUAUUUUCAGAAGCAACCGGUCGACUCUGUCAAAUGAAGCAGCACCAUUGACUCAAGGGAAUUCUGAUCACUGACCACAGGGCUUGCCAAGAUGGUACCUAAAUAACAGCUGCUUAGGUGGCAUUUGCGAAGAAUGGAGGUUGAGAGCAUGGCUCAGGAAGAGUUUAAAAGUUAAACAGGUUGAAGACAUUGGACUUCAGGUGAAGGGCACUGUGAAAAGUCUUGUCACUGUGUUUCAGAUGGGCCGCAAGUGACUGGAUGAAUGAGUGAAUGAAGGGGGCAAUUGCUGGUGCCUUAGGUGAAGCCCGAAGCUUAUUGCUUGGUGCUGUGCACACCAUGCAAACAGUCCUCUGGCCUCGUGGCCUCCACACAGUGCAUCGUUUGGCAUUGGCUUAUCAAAGACACAGUUCAUUUCUCAAAUGCCCUCAUGGAAAAACAGCCAUAAAUUUUCCUUUCAGGGUUGGGGCUCUUUCCAGGUGUUUCCUGGAUGAUCCAGGUAGGUCUGUGAAAGUACUUCCCAGGGAGGCCUGGUACUUUCCUUGCCCAGCAGGCUGGGUUCUGAGAAAUCCUAUUGUAAUGAUCAGACAUGGAGUUUGUGCUGCAUCUGUAAAUAGAUCCAGUGGCCCACAGAGAGAGUUUUUAGGAGAAAAGCCAGACUUGACGACAGCAUUCUUUCCAACAGCCUGCCUGAAUUUUUUCCUGUCAUCUUCUUCUUCUUUCUUAAAAAAGAAAAAAAAAAAAAAAAGGAAAGAAAGAAAAGAGAAAGGAGAGGAAAAGAAAUUCGAGAAAGAAAAACAUGCAAGCAAACAAACAAACAAAAAACUCUAUUUUUUGAAUUAGCCCAAAGCACACAACAUGAAAUCAAGUGCAAUCUAUUAUUUUGGUGUGGUUGUGAGCGUUUUCCUCCUCUGUUCCUGAAUAAUGUUCUUUGAAGGCGGCCUCAUCCAUAAACUGCUCUGGUGAAGUUUCCCAGGCCUAGAAUAAUGAAUAACAAUUAGAGGCAUUUAAAAAGUAAUAUUUUUUUCCCUGCAAUUUGGAAAUUGAUUUAUGAAUUUGGGGAUCCUCCAGUUUCAUCAAAUAAAUGGUUUCUUCAAUUGAGUUCUUUUGCCAGCUGAGAAAAAGCCCCCUGAAGGCUGGCAAGCUUGUGAAACUUUCCUGCCAGUUUAUUGAUUUUGAUAGAAAAGGAACUUUUGACAUUUAACAGAAUUUGACUCUGCGUGAAGAAAAGCCAGAGUCAUUUUCACCUAGAUAAUUACUACAUGGAAGCCGUCACUCAGGCACUGUGGAUUUCUCAUCACCCGAACCCAGUUUUCUCAGGAGCAUUUUUCUAAGUGUUUGGUCAGAAUGUUUUUAUAAACAUGUCCUGAAAAUUUAUGAAAGAGGCUGGUCUAUUCUCUUAUUAUUAGAAAGCAGUAGAUGAUAGGUAAAUAGGUGGGAGAUAGAUAGAUAAAUGAUAGCAUGUUGAGAGAAACAUCACAUCUUUGGAUAUGUGAUUUUUGGCAUAAGAAAUAAAAUGAACUUCAUCUCAAAGUUCUUUUCCUCCCUUUCCGUACUUUUUCUACCAUCAACAAGAUACUUCCUUUUACGAUCCACUGUUCUUGAAAAUUAUCACAUCUCCUGGCUGCAGACAAACAGAACGAGCCACAUGCACCCUCCUGCAAGGCGAAUGCAUUAAGAAGCGUGAGCGGUGCCGUCACUUGGCUCCUCAUGUCCUUUCCCAAACCGAGCCAAAGCAUUGCCUCUGUCUGGCUAGACUUUCUCGAUUAAUUCUGACCAGUUUGAGUCAUUUCGUCGGCCUACACGUCCUAUGAUCCCUCCACCUAGAAGGACAGUUCAUUCACCAAGCCUUGACUGAGCAGUGACAGUGCUCCAAGAACUGACAUGUGCCCUAGGGACACAGAGCUGGACACGAUAUUCUGUCACGGAAUAGGAUUCUCAACCUAGGCUCUAGAAUAAUAGAC
RNAcentral lists this long non-coding RNA (4507 nucleotides) under Sus scrofa (pig). RNAcentral's name for it is "lncRNA (ENSSSCG00000050553.2)". The record is from RNAcentral. Lineage: Eukaryota; Metazoa; Chordata; Mammalia; Artiodactyla; Suidae.